Non-coding RNA from Mus caroli (Ryukyu mouse), 425 nucleotides. The record is from RefSeq and is a predicted model, not a curated record. NCBI's taxonomy places the organism in Eukaryota, Metazoa, Chordata, Mammalia, Rodentia, Muridae.
CCGUCUGUGAGCUGUGAGAGAGAGAGAGAGAGAUGCGAUGGAGUCACAUGAUAAAUCCAGGGAAGCCAGAUUCUGCAUCAGGGUGCAGAUCUGAGUUUAUUACCCAGUGCAGAACCUUAUAUACAGUGUUUGAACCAAUCCCAAGCCCACAAAUCCUUGGCCAAUCAUAUCUCACCACAACAUCACUGUUGCUCCAACAAAAGCCCUGCCUGAUGAGGUUACUCAGAAGGAACAUUGGGGAAGUGGGGAGAAAGAAGUAUGUCCUGUUAGGUCACCUGUUAGGACUUCCGUGAAGAAGAGGGAAGCAGCCACCAACCCGGCCUAGAUCCCUUUUUACUGUUUCACUAGUGUUCCGGGAGCCAUCUUAGAUCUAGUUCCCUCACUCUCCGUUCCACCUUUUCCUUCACAACCGCCACAGCACACAG